This is a long non-coding RNA of Pteropus alecto (black flying fox), 198 nucleotides long. RefSeq lists it as uncharacterized. The transcript is spliced from 3 exons. The record is from RefSeq and is a predicted model, not a curated record. Lineage: Eukaryota; Metazoa; Chordata; Mammalia; Chiroptera; Pteropodidae.
AUGGACUGAUACGUUACAGUGGGAAAAGCACUGGAGCUGUGCUGGAUCGGGAGCCCGGUUCCAGUGAGAACAUUGAAUACAAAAUGAGGAUAAAUGACUUGCUAAAGCCUCCUGGAGAGAAGCAAUGACAGCUCAAUGCCAAGCAGUAGGAAGCCCUCAGUGACCCUCUGCAGAGGGAAAAAGACCAACUCAGAGCCC